UCGGGGAACGAUAACGGCGUCGAGCGGCGGACGGGUGAGUAAUGCCUAGGAAAUUGCCCUGAUGUGGGGGAUAACCAUUGGAAACGAUGGCUAAUACCGCAUGAUGCCUACGGGCCAAAGAGGGGGACCUUCGGGCCUCUCGCGUCAGGAUAUGCCUAGGUGGGAUUAGCUAGUUGGUGAGGUAAGGGCUCACCAAGGCGACGAUCCCUAGCUGGUCUGAGAGGAUGAUCAGCCACACUGGAACUGAGACACGGUCCAGACUCCUACGGGAGGCAGCAGUGGGGAAUAUUGCACAAUGGGCGCAAGCCUGAUGCAGCCAUGCCGCGUGUGUGAAGAAGGCCUUCGGGUUGUAAAGCACUUUCAGUCGUGAGGAAGGUAGUAUAGUUAAUAGCAGUAUUAUUUGACGUUAGCGACAGAAGAAGCACCGGCUAACUCCGUGCCAGCAGCCGCGGUAAUACGGAGGGUGCGAGCGUUAAUCGGAAUUACUGGGCGUAAAGCG
This 499-nucleotide ribosomal RNA is filed under the name Vibrio sp. Its description in RNAcentral is "bacterial SSU rRNA". It matches the Rfam family "Bacterial small subunit ribosomal RNA", at positions 73 to 567 of the family's 1533-position model. Lineage: Bacteria; Pseudomonadati; Pseudomonadota; Gammaproteobacteria; Vibrionales; Vibrionaceae. The record is from RNAcentral.